CAAGAGAGUACUCUACAUUGGUGCGGUUAAGAAAGAUAUCACACACGUACUUGAUCGACUCCAAUAAAAGAGUAAGUUAUUGUUAGUAUGAUUCAUGUUUCUCUGUAAGGGCUCUUGUUCAAAUAGUUUAAUAUAUAAUAGUCUAAAAGCGUUACAUUGUUUGUAUUUGUAUAAUGACAACCGUUAAACAAAGAAAGUAACGUAAACAUUUAUUAAGUGAAAAUUUGUUCCGCUCACUAUAUACAAGUAACAUGAACCGUUAUGUAAUUUCCGAUAACAAAAAAAUUAUUAAUUCGAACAAACCAGCUGGAUUUAUUUAAACUACAACACAAAGUUAACUUAAGUAUACUAAAAAAAGACUACAAAAUUUCGCUUCCAUUGUCAACUUCUAAUUGUCAAGCAUAUGAUGAUAUGAUAUAGGAAUAACAACUUUGAGUAACAUUGUAUAAACUAUAAACUAUAAAGCUCUGCCAACUACGUACUGCCCCCAUCUCAAAAUGUCCGUAUCUCUUUCUUUUUCAAAUCAAAUUAAAGACUUUAUCUUCAACAAUUUGCAAGAAGAUAAAAAGGAAACAAUUGAAGAGAAUAUCUCGCCCUACUAAUUAGAAUUGAUACUCUGUUUAUUCCAUUAAAUACCAAGCAAAUUAGGAUAUAACUCACUACCAAAUUGAAGAAAAUAGCAUCAAGUAUAUCCAAAUACAUUAAAUUUAUUUCCAUGUUCGACAAUAUCUACAAUAUACCUUUCAUAAAUUCAAUCCCAUGCGUUUAUGUAGGUCACAAAUGCAUUACGCAUGUCAAAAUACAAA
RNAcentral lists this long non-coding RNA (806 nucleotides) under Fragaria vesca (wild strawberry). RNAcentral describes it as "long non-coding RNA (FVES_LNC003887)". Lineage: Eukaryota; Viridiplantae; Streptophyta; Magnoliopsida; Rosales; Rosaceae. The record is from RNAcentral.